UUCACCUAGCCCAUGGCCAAGUCAGGGUCUCUGAAGAACCCCCACGAAAAGUGCCAACUGGAAGAGCCAACAUUUGGAUCUUACCAUUUGGAAGGCUUUCAACAGUCAAGAGAGCAUCACAGCCAGCAUCUGCCUCCAUCUCUCAUCCCUCCACAGCUAUUAUAUUGGAAAAUCCAUCAGCAGUUAGGUCACAUAGGAGAGUGAUCAGCAUAUCUUGGGAGCACAGUAGACACAGGUUAAGGAGAUCCCCUGCCUGCAGUGUCCCAAUCAAAUCAUAGGAACACUGUGAGACUCUGGGGUGAGCUUGCAUUUGCAGACAGGAACUGAAGGGCUGGAGAGGUUACACUCACCCAGGUGCAGUUGCCCAGCAUGUGAAAGAGGAGACAUUCUAAACCCUGCACUUAAAAAAUAAAUAAAUAAAUAAAGUUA
Molecule: long non-coding RNA, 429 nt
Filed under: Homo sapiens (human)
Lineage: Eukaryota; Metazoa; Chordata; Mammalia; Primates; Hominidae
Description: novel transcript
Source: RNAcentral